CGAGGGCCAGAAAACCACGGCCGGCCAAAUGCCUUAAAGGGGUAACCCGUCGCGCGCGUUUUCUGCAGGAAAGAGUCCGCCCAAGUUUGGUGGGUGUGGGCUGUUGUCUUGCGCAUGCAGGAACAGGCUGCUGUGUCGCUCUCUUGCUCAUAGCUGGAGCAUGCGGCGCUCCCCAUUGUCCCUGGCAUGCCGAUACAGGAGAGGGGGGAGACACAGAUGCAGACAGCCCAGAGGGACGUACUGUCCCCUCCGUGAGCCCGGCCCCCUGGGGUCCACUGCAGACUCUGAACCAGCAGAAGCAAAGCCCUCUGCUCGGGGUCCAGGAGUUGCUGCCCAGGGAUCCUGGUUCCAAAUGACCUCUGGCUCCAUCUUGGAACGUCAUGCCAGAUUCUCUUCAGCUCGUCGCCACUCUGUAAUCGCAGCACUUGUGGAGGCUCAGGAGGAGCGAAAUCUUGAGCACAGCCGGGGCAAAUUAACCACUGUGAGACCCUGUCGCAAAAGAACUGCAUUAUGAAGUUCUGUGGAUGGAGUUCAAGGAGGAGAGGCUCUGGUUCAAUUCAGAACAGUGGGGAGGGGAAUAACUUUACUUUCACAAUAUUAACAGCAGUCACUUGAUUCUGGAGACUUCUCUUUCCUGGGGUCCACCCUGCCCUCCUCUUCUGGGAAAGGAACACUCUGAGAGGUGGGCACAGGGGCAUGAGGAGGACUGGGAGCCAGGCCUUCUGCACCCUCUCUCUCCGCUGCCCCACUUCUGCUAUGUGUGUCAAAUCUUAAGACCUUGGAAGUCUCCCUAGCCUGUGCACUCCCACAGCUCCAACCCAGGGUUGUGGGGAGAACAACCCACAGUCUUAUAUUUCCAAUGAAAAGUAGCAAUGCCAGGACCCUGGGUACAUAAAGGCAGGAGCAUUUGAUUUUGAGACACAUCUCACUUUUCUUUUUUUUUUUUUGUACCAAGAAUCAAACUCAGGACCUUGUGCUUGCCAGGCAGGCACUUAUGCUACUGAGCUAAAUCCCCAACAAGGAGGGCAUUUGAAAGGGAGACACCCCUGGAGUUUGAGGUGUGCAGUUGCCUUGCUACAGGAGCAACAAGAUGGGCAGUGGUGUCGAGCCACACACACACACACACACACACACACACACACUCACAGAGUUCUAUAUAGAUCUCUGUGCCCGGAGGCUUGAUACCUUGGGGCCAGGUGCCCUGGAGCUUGAGGCAGGAACCUCAGAAAAGAGAGGGAGCCAGCACCAGAUAAAGGAUACAGCAUCUCUACUUCUGCACCUAGGUGCCUAGACCAGAAACAGAACCCACCAGGGCAAACCUCUACUGCCUCCCAGAUGCUAUUCAGACUCAUUGGCUUCUCCAUUCCUUCCCCAAGACCCACCUCCAUCCUGACCUUUCCAAACCUGACCAGACAGAAUGUCUAAAGAUCCAGUUCUUUUUUUUUUUUUUUUUCUUCGUUUUUAUCGGUACCAGGGAUCGAACUCACAACUGCCUGCAAGGCAAGCGCUUAUGCCGCUGAGCUAAGUCCCCAGCCCCUAAAGAUCCAGUUCUAAAACCAGGUGUGGUGGUACAUCCCUGUAAUCCCAGCACUUAGAAGGCUGAGACAGGAGGAACCUUUUGAGUUAAAGACUGACCUGGGCUACAAAGUGAGCUCAAGUUCAGCCUGAACUGCAUACCAAGACCCUGUUUCAAAAAGACAACAUAAAAUAAAAUAAAGAUCUGGGCAGAGAUUUAGCUGAGUGGCAUAAGCACCUGCCUGGCAAGCACCAGGCCAUGAGUUCAAUCCCUAGUGCCUAAAUAAAUAAAUAAAUAAAUAUUCCGGUCUGACUUGCCA
Long non-coding RNA from Cavia porcellus (domestic guinea pig), 1835 nucleotides. RefSeq lists it as uncharacterized. The record is from RefSeq and is a predicted model, not a curated record. NCBI's taxonomy places the organism in Eukaryota, Metazoa, Chordata, Mammalia, Rodentia, Caviidae. The transcript has 2 exons.